Triticum aestivum (bread wheat) is the source of this 134-nucleotide non-coding RNA. Lineage: Eukaryota; Viridiplantae; Streptophyta; Magnoliopsida; Poales; Poaceae. The record is from Rfam.
CUUCUACUCCCUCCGUCCGAAAAUAUUUGUCAUAAAAAAGAAUAAAAAGGAUGUAUCUAGAUGUAUUUGAGUUCUAGAUACAUCGCUUUUCAUCUAUUUUGAUGACAAGUAUUUUCGGACGAAGGGAGUACAUG